AUUGAACGCUGGCGGCAGGCCUAACACAUGCAAGUCGAGCGGCAACGGAAAGUAGCUUGCUACUUUGCCGGCGAGCGGCGGACGGGUGAGUAAUGUCUGGGAAACUGCCUGAUGGAGGGGGAUAACUACUGGAAACGGUAGCUAAUACCGCAUAACGUCGCAAGACCAAAGAGGGGGACCUUCGGGCCUCUUGCCAUCAGAUGUGCCCAGAUGGGAUUAGCUAGUAGGUGGGGUAAUGGCUCACCUAGGCGACGAUCCCUAGCUGGUCUGAGAGGAUGACCAGCCACACUGGAACUGAGACACGGUCCAGACUCCUACGGGAGGCAGCAGUGGGGAAUAUUGCACAAUGGGCGCAAGCCUGAUGCAGCCAUGCCGCGUGUAUGAAGAAGGCCUUCGGGUUGUAAAGUACUUUCAGCGGGGAGGAAGGCGGUGAGGCUAAUAACCUCAUCGAUUGACGUUACCCGCA
This 466-nucleotide ribosomal RNA is filed under the name uncultured bacterium. RNAcentral's name for it is "bacterial SSU rRNA". It matches the Rfam family "Bacterial small subunit ribosomal RNA", at positions 30 to 483 of the family's 1533-position model. The record is from RNAcentral.